CAGCAGCCACGGGAAUACGGAGGGUGCAAGCGUUAUCCGGAUUUAUUGGGUUUAAAGGGUCCGUAGGCGGAUCUGUAAGUCAGUGGUGAAAUCUCACAGCUUAACUGUGAAACUGCCAUUGAUACUGCAGGUCUUGAGUAAAUUUGAAGUGGCUGGAAUAAGUAGUGUAGCGGUGAAAUGCAUAGAUAUUACUUAGAACACCAAUUGCGAAGGCAGGUCACUAAGAUUUAACUGACGCUGAUGGACGAAAGCGUGGGGAGCGAACAGGAUUAGAUACCCGAGUAGUCCCUGUCUCUUAUAU
Molecule: ribosomal RNA, 301 nt
Filed under: uncultured bacterium
Lineage: Bacteria
Description: partial 16S ribosomal RNA
Rfam family: Bacterial small subunit ribosomal RNA
Source: RNAcentral